GGAUUGUAGCUCAGUGGUAGAGCACUCGCCUAGCAUAUGCGAGGCCUGGGUUCAAUCCUCAACACCA
RNAcentral lists this transfer RNA (67 nucleotides) under Marmota monax (woodchuck). RNAcentral describes it as "tRNA.Ala". Lineage: Eukaryota; Metazoa; Chordata; Mammalia; Rodentia; Sciuridae. The record is from RNAcentral.